Molecule: long non-coding RNA, 830 nt
Organism: Epinephelus fuscoguttatus (brown-marbled grouper)
Lineage: Eukaryota; Metazoa; Chordata; Actinopteri; Perciformes; Serranidae
Exons: 4
Source: RefSeq, a predicted model, not a curated record
UCUCUAUGGCCGUCACCCACGAGUCCCGGUCCUCCAGGCUCUGAGCCUCGAAAUGCCACGUCUGCCCGGUGAACGACACUAUGAUAAAGUCUGCAUUCUCUUCCUCUGCGAGUAGAAGGGAAACAAGUAAACACUCAAAGUAAAUCUACACGGCUGUGACGACUCGUGUGCUGACCUUGGGUGCCGACCACUAUGACUGGGAUGUCCGUGCGGUGUGCGCUCAGCUGGCUGUAGAGCUGGUAGAGCUCCUGGAAGCUGCCCUCAUUCUCCAGACUGAAGACCAGGAUCACUGCGUCAACCCAGCUGCUGAACUGAAGGAGGGAGAAGAUGAUGGAUGAUGAAGUCUGCAGGGUCGUGGGGGGUUAGAGCCGAUCCCAGUUGACACUGGGAGAGAGGCAGCGUACACCCUGGACAGAUCUUUGGACUGUGGAACCCAGAGAACCCGGAGAAAACCCACAUUGACAUGGGGAGAACAUGCUAACUCUACACAGAUGGGCCCCAAACCUGGGUUCAAACCCGCAACCAUCUUGUUGUGAGCUCACUGAGCUACGCUGUGACAAAAUGGGGCCCCCUCUGGUGGCUGUGGCUCAGGAGGUGGAGCGGUUGUCUACCAGUGGGAAGGUCAAUGGUUCUGGCCUCAUCAGUCUACAUGUCAGUGUCCUUGGACAAGGUACUGUACCCUAAACUGCUGUCAGGUUGUGCCAUUGUUGAGUCCUGUAAAUGUCUACCUGAUGAGCAGGUGGCAUCUUGUAUGGUAUGGUACUAUUACUGAUUGAUUAUUGUACAUACAAAACACGAUUAACUUACAAAAUAUGAUGCAUUUCUAAAGA